GAUGAACGCUGGCGGCGUGCCUAAUACAUGCAAGUCGAGCGAACGGACGAGAAGCUUGCUUCUCUGAUGUUAGCGGCGGACGGGUGAGUAACACGUGGAUAACCUACCUAUAAGACUGGGAUAACUUCGGGAAACGGUAGCUAAUACCGGCUAAUAUUUUGAACCGCCUGGUUCAAAAGUGAAAGACGGUCUUGCUGUCACUUAUAGAUGGAUCCGCGCUGCAUUAGCUAGUUGGUAAGGUAACGGCUUACCAAGGCAACGAUGCAUAGCCGACCUGAGAGGGUGAUCGGCCACACUGGAACUGAGACACGGUCCAGACUCCUACGGGAGGCAGCAGUAGGGAAUCUUCCGCAAUGGGCGAAAGCCUGACGGAGCAACGCCGCGUGAGUGAUGAAGGUCUUCGGAUCGUAAAACUCUGUUAUUAGGGAAGAACAUAUGUGUAAGUAACUGUGCACAUCUUGACGGUACCUAAUCAGAAAGCCACGGCUAACUACGUG
This 497-nucleotide ribosomal RNA is filed under the name uncultured bacterium. Its description in RNAcentral is "partial 16S ribosomal RNA". It matches the Rfam family "Bacterial small subunit ribosomal RNA", at positions 28 to 507 of the family's 1533-position model. The record is from RNAcentral.